GACGAACGCUGGCGGCGUGCUUAACACAUGCAAGUCGAACGAUGAAGCCUAGCUUGCUAGGUGGAUUAAUGGCGAACGGGUGAGUAAUACGUGAGUGACCUACCUUUGACUCUGGGAUAAGCCUGGGAAACUGGGUCUAAUACCGGAUACGACCAAUCUCCGCAUGGGGUGUUGGUGGAAAGCGUUAUGGAGUGGUUUUAGAUGGGCUCACGGCCUAUCAGCUUGUUGGUGAGGUAAUGGCUUACCAAGGCGACGACGGGUAGCCGGCCUGAGAGGGUGACCGGCCACACUGGGACUGAGACACGGCCCAGACUCCUACGGGAGGCAGCAGUGGGGAAUAUUGCACAAUGGGCGCAAGCCUGAUGCAGCGACGCCGCGUGAGGGAUGACGGCCUUCGGGUUGUAAACCUCUGUUAGCAUCGAAGAAGCGAAAGUGACGGUAGGUGCAGAGAAAGCGCCGGCUAACUACGUG
RNAcentral lists this ribosomal RNA (471 nucleotides) under uncultured bacterium. RNAcentral describes it as "partial 16S ribosomal RNA". It matches the Rfam family "Bacterial small subunit ribosomal RNA", at positions 28 to 507 of the family's 1533-position model. The record is from RNAcentral.